This 492-nucleotide ribosomal RNA is filed under the name uncultured bacterium. Its description in RNAcentral is "partial 16S ribosomal RNA". It matches the Rfam family "Bacterial small subunit ribosomal RNA", at positions 30 to 507 of the family's 1533-position model. The record is from RNAcentral.
AUUGAACGCUGGCGGUAGGCCUAACACAUGCAAGUCGAACGGCAGCACAGUAAGAGCUUGCUCUUACGGGUGGCGAGUGGCGGACGGGUGAGGAAUACAUCGGAAUCUCCUUUUUCGUGGGGGAUAACGUAGGGAAACUUACGCUAAUACCGCAUACGACCUACGGGUGAAAGCAGGGGAUCUUCGGACCUUGCGCGAUUAAAUGAGCCGAUGUCGGAUUAGCUAGUUGGCGGGGUAAAGGCCCACCAAGGCGACGAUCCGUAGCUGGUCUGAGAGGAUGAUCAGCCACACUGGAACUGAGACACGGUCCAGACUCCUACGGGAGGCAGCAGUGGGGAAUAUUGGACAAUGGGCGCAAGCCUGAUCCAGCCAUACCGCGUGUGUGAAGAAGGCCUUCGGGUUGUAAAGCCCUUUUGUUGGGGAAGAAAAGAAUAAGGUUAAUACCUCGCUGUUCUGACGUUACCCAAAGAAUAAGCACCGGCUAACUUCGUG